UAUUCAUCCGCUUCUACACUCGUUCAUAUAUAUACAAAUACGCAAGCCCCCUCAUCUCCUCCCCACCACCAGACGCAGCCCGCACAACCUUUUCAUCAUUGUACAACACCCACUCUCCCUCUUCUUCUCCCUCCCCCUCGAUCCCCGCUUGCGGCUGCCGGAUAGUAGCCACAUAGUGGCCAGAAUGCACAGACGGGCCCUUGUGCGAGAUGAAUGCUUUCAGUCGGUACUUGGCAGGGAGAGACGAUGAGCCCCCGAUGGAAGGUUCGGCACUGCCAGCGGGGGCAGGGUCUUCUCCUGCAUCGUCAGGGUUACUAAACAGCCACUCAAUAGCCCGCUCGGGGUUGCCGUCCUAUUCCUUAUCAGUACCAUGUCCCGUCCCUUGGCAACGAUUUUUUUUUCUCUAAAAAAAGAAAGGAAACCUACGCUUUCGCGCAAUGCCUUGCGGGCUUGGUUAUGAGAGAAUCCCAUAUCGGCAAUCAUGCCAAUCUGUUCUUGUGAAGGUUCGUUGCUGGCGGCUUUCGAACCCCCGAGUACAAUCGGCGCAUCAAUGUCUAGUGGUACUUUGAUGACAAUCUCAGCGUCAUUGUUGCCAGUCGCCAAUAAUGCCUUUUGGCAUCUCACUGUGGGGAAUCCCAUAGCCUCAAGCUGUGCCAUGGCCGUAGCGUUGAACUCUGGGAGGGAAGGAGACGAUGACGAUACUGUGAGCUCUUGUUCACCCGGUUGAAGUCCUUGGGCAACGAGGUGGUCCAAAGUAAGAAUGUCGGGGACGGAUACAGGAAUAUCGAGCUUGGUUGGGAGCCAAUUCACAAGUUGAAACUUUUUCAUGUGCAACACCAACAAGUCUGGGAAUGUCUUGAAUUUGGUCGAUCUAUGGAUUGUCAGUCCUUCCAAAGCUCCUCUCCUCCCAAAGCUCCUCCCUUCUCUAUUUUUUUUUUUUUUUUACUUACUUGUACGCCGUCGUCUUUUCCUUGCAAUGAUCACACUGAUACUCAGCCACUGCUUCCUCUGCACACAAUUGCUCUAAACACGUUUCAAGUUCCACCCCCUCGUAAAGCUUCUUGCCGUCUUCACUCACCCCCACCUCCACUGCCUCAACAGGCAAACUCGCCAAGUCUACACCUUCCACCUGGAGACCGACACGCUUGCACUUGCCACACUGCAACCUCUGCUCCAUUGCAAACUUGAGAAUCUCAGUCGGCUCGGCGGCCUCAUCCCUACCUUGACGCUUCGCCUCGUCUCUUAACCGCGUCAAAAGAUGCUGUAAAAAUUCUUCUGAAUCUUGUUGGCGCAUGGUCGAAAACUCUUCGUGGCCUUUACCAAUAAGCGCUUUAAACUGUGUCGGCUUGAUUCCUUCUUGGAACUUGGGAGCUUGCUGUUCUUCAAAAUGGGUAGUGGGGGGGGGUAAGCUUGCCACAUGAGAGUACCUUCCGGACAGCAGACCAUCGCCGAGCUUGAGCAUUUGGCACUCGAUACAGGAAGCGGGAAGAAGGUUGGGACACGUUUGGAAAUGGUUGAACGCUUCGGGUGUGGUAUACCUUGAUCGGAAAGCGGGGAGAGAGAAGAGCGCUUGGAGGACAGAGGCCACGUAACAGCUGUUUCCCAAGUUUCUCAGGCCGGUGAGACCUUUGCCAAAGACAGGUUCGAGUUCUUUACCGUCAUCGCCAAUCAUGGAAAAAUCAAAUUUCAAAUUAUGUUCGAGUUGGAGUUCAGUCAUGGACUUUUCAGUCUUGGUCUGACCCAUCACCUCGAUGCCGAAGGUUGAAAGGUGAGUGGCCAAUUCGGGGUCGAUCUUGGCAUCGUCACAGGCGUAGCAAUAAAUAUCUGUUUUUUUUGCUUAGCAUGAUGGAAUAUGUAUGAGCCCCUAAAAAAAGAGAAGAAAG
RNAcentral lists this small RNA (1883 nucleotides) under Cryptococcus neoformans H99. RNAcentral describes it as "Cryptococcus neoformans var. grubii H99 hypothetical RNA". The record is from RNAcentral. Lineage: Eukaryota; Fungi; Basidiomycota; Tremellomycetes; Tremellales; Cryptococcaceae.